AGUGAACGCUGGCGGUAGGCCUAACACAUGCAAGUCGAACGGCAGCACAGUAAGAGCUUGCUCUUACGGGUGGCGAGUGGCGGACGGGUGAGAAAUACAUCGGAAUCUACUUUUUCGUGGGGGAUAACGUAGGGAAACUUACGCUAAUACCGCAUACGACCUACGGGUGAAAGCAGGGGAUCUUCGGACCUUGCGCGAUUGAAUGAGCCGAUGUCGGAUUAGCUAGUUGGCGGGGUAAAGGCCCACCAAGGCGACGAUCCGUAGCUGGUCUGAGAGGGUGAUCAGCCACACUGGAACUGAGACACGGUCCAGACUCCUACGGGAGGCAGCAGUGGGGAAUAUUGGACAAUGGGCGCAAGCCUGAUCCAGCCAUACCGCGUGGGUGAAGAAGGCCUUCGGGUUGUAAAGCCCUUUUGUUGGGAAAGAAAAGCAGCAGGUUAAUACCCCGCUGUUCUGACGGUACCCAAAGAAUAAGCACCGGCUAACUUCGUG
This 492-nucleotide ribosomal RNA is filed under the name uncultured bacterium. RNAcentral describes it as "partial 16S ribosomal RNA". It matches the Rfam family "Bacterial small subunit ribosomal RNA", at positions 29 to 507 of the family's 1533-position model. The record is from RNAcentral.